RNAcentral lists this ribosomal RNA (439 nucleotides) under uncultured bacterium. Its description in RNAcentral is "partial 16S ribosomal RNA". It matches the Rfam family "Bacterial small subunit ribosomal RNA", at positions 339 to 795 of the family's 1533-position model. The record is from RNAcentral.
CUACGGGGGGCUGCAGUGAGGAAUAUUGCACAAUGGGGGAAACCCUGAUGCAGCAACGCCGCGUGGAGGAUGACGCAUUUCGGUGUGUAAACUCCUUUUAUAUGUCAAGAAAAUGACGGUAGCAUAUGAAUAAGCACCGGCUAACUCCGUGCCAGCAGCCGCGGUAAUACGGAGGGUGCAAGCGUUACUCGGAAUCACUGGGCGUAAAGGACGCGUAGGCGGGUUGUCAAGUCAGGUGUGAAAUCCUACAGCUUAACUGUAGAACUGCACUUGAAACUGGCAGCCUAGAGUAUGGGAGGGGGAGAUGGAAUUAGUAGUGUAGGGGUAAAAUCCGUAGAUAUUACUAGGAAUAUCAAAAGCGAAGGCGAUCUCCUGGAACAUUACUGACGCUAAGGCGUGAAAGCGUGGGGAGCAAACAGGAUUAGAUACCCCCGUAGUC